This is a long non-coding RNA of Mytilus californianus (California mussel), 515 nucleotides long. RefSeq lists it as uncharacterized. The record is from RefSeq and is a predicted model, not a curated record. Lineage: Eukaryota; Metazoa; Mollusca; Bivalvia; Mytilida; Mytilidae. The transcript has 3 exons.
UAUCUCCCCGAACACUGUUUUCCUUGUGCACGCAUCUCCUCCGUAACCGUAAAAGAAAGCGACAAAUUUAUUUUACCAAAUUGCUCGUUAUAUCCUCAGGAUGUUUUGUCCAAUUUUGACUGAAACGAUACGUAAACUCCAUAUGAGAGUUUUUUCCCCUUCUGUAUUUGACAUAAGGGAUAUAUAAAUGUAUAGCAUGAAUGGUAAGUGAUAGAGACCUAAGGUAUAUUGAUUUGAGUUCCUUGGUUCAUUUAAAUGAAAUUGAGGCCAAGGUCAAAGGUCAAGGUCAUAUUCAAAAUUUUGACUUUUCCUUGUUAUUUGAUCUCCUCUGUCACUUUUAAAAUUACAAAUUAAAGAACUAGUGCAAAAUGUUUGCUUAAUUGUGAUUAAGAUAUGAUACAUUUGGUCUGAAACAAUCCAAUGAUAUCUUAUAGGAGUUAUUGUCCCUGAAAUGAUUCAAUUUAAGGUUAAUUGAUUAUUACUCCAACUUGGUACAUGAUAAAGCCAUAGGGUUU